RNAcentral lists this ribosomal RNA (429 nucleotides) under bacterium. RNAcentral describes it as "partial 16S ribosomal RNA". It matches the Rfam family "Bacterial small subunit ribosomal RNA", at positions 355 to 776 of the family's 1533-position model. The record is from RNAcentral.
UAGGGAAUCUUCCACAAUGGACGCAAGUCUGAUGGAGCAACGCCGCGUGAGUGAAGAAGGUUUUCGGAUCGUAAAGCUCUGUUGUUGGUGAAGAAGGAUAGAGGUAGUAACUGGCCUUUAUUUGACGGUAAUCAACCAGAAAGUCACGGCUAACUACGUGCCAGCAGCCGCGGUAAUACGUAGGUGGCAAGCGUUGUCCGGAUUUAUUGGGCGUAAAGCGAGCGCAGGCGGAAGAAUAAGUCUGAUGUGAAAGCCCUCGGCUUAACCGAGGAACUGCAGCGGAAACUGUUUUUCUUGAGUGCAGAAGAGGAGAGUGGAAUUCCAUGUGUAGCGGUGGAAUGCGUAGAUAUAUGGAAGAACACCAGUGGCGAAGGCGACUCUCUGGUCUGCAACUGACGCUGAGGCUCGAAAGCGUGGGUAGCGAACAGG